RNAcentral lists this ribosomal RNA (253 nucleotides) under uncultured bacterium. RNAcentral's name for it is "partial 16S ribosomal RNA". It matches the Rfam family "Bacterial small subunit ribosomal RNA", at positions 524 to 776 of the family's 1533-position model. The record is from RNAcentral.
UACGUAGGGGGCGAGCGUUGUCCGGAGUUACUGGGCGUAAAGCGCACGCAGGCGGUCUGCUAAGUUUGGAGUGACAGUUGGUGGCUUAACUGCCAAAGUGCUUCGAAAACUGACAGACUUGAGGGCUUCAGAGGGACACGGAAUUCCGGGUGGAGUGGUGAAAUGCGUAGAGAUCCGGAGGAACACCAAAGGCGAAGGCAGUGUCCUGGGGAGUACCUGACGCUCAAGUGCGAAAGCCAGGGGAGCGAAUGGG